This 386-nucleotide ribosomal RNA is filed under the name Salmonella enterica. RNAcentral describes it as "partial 23S ribosomal RNA". It matches the Rfam family "Bacterial large subunit ribosomal RNA", at positions 711 to 1094 of the family's 2925-position model. RNAcentral also lists the same sequence under 1 other name. Lineage: Bacteria; Pseudomonadati; Pseudomonadota; Gammaproteobacteria; Enterobacterales; Enterobacteriaceae. The record is from RNAcentral.
AGACCCGAAACCCGGUGAUCUAGCCAUGGGCAGGUUGAAGGUUGGGUAACACUAACUGGAGGACCGAACCGACUAAUGUUGAAAAAUUAGCGGAUGACCUGUGGCUGGGGGUGAAAGGCCAAUCAAACCGGGAGAUAGCUGGUUCUCCCCGAAAGCUAUUUAGGUAGCGCCUCGUGAAUUCAUCUCCGGGGGUAGAGCACUGUUUCGGCUAGGGGGCCAUCCCGGCUUACCAACCCGAUGCAAACUGCGAAUACCGGAGAAUGUUAUCACGGGAGACACACGGCGGGUGCUAACGUCCGUCGUGAAGAGGGAAACAACCCAGACCGCCAGCUAAGGUCCCAAAGUCAUGGUUAAGUGGGAAACGAUGUGGGAAGGCCCAGACAGCC